RNAcentral lists this ribosomal RNA (497 nucleotides) under uncultured bacterium. Its description in RNAcentral is "partial 16S ribosomal RNA". It matches the Rfam family "Bacterial small subunit ribosomal RNA", at positions 28 to 507 of the family's 1533-position model. The record is from RNAcentral.
GAUGAACGCUGGCGGCGUGCCUAACACAUGCAAGUCGAACGGACAGACGCGGAGCUUGCUCCUCGGACGUUAGCGGCGGGCGUGUGAGUAACGCGUGGAUCCCCUACCUAUAAGACUGGGAUAACUUCGGGAAACCGGAGCUAAUACGGGAUAAUAUCUUGAAGCGCAUGGUUGGAUAGUGAAAGACGGUUUUGCUGGAACUUAUAGAUGGUUCCGCGCUGGUUUAGCUAGUUGUUAAGGUAACGGCGUACGGAGGCAACGAUGCGUGGGCGACCUGCGAGGGUGAUCGGCCCCACUGGAACUGAGACGCGGUCCAGGCUCCUACGGGAGGCCGCAGUAGGGAAUCGUGCGCAAUGGGGGGAAGCCUGACGGAGCGGCGCCGCGUGAGUGAUGAAGGUCCGCGGAUCGGAUAACUCUGUUAUGGGUGAAGAACAAAUGUGUAAGUAACUAUGCACGUCUUGACGGUACCUAAUCAGAAAGCCACGGCUAACUACGUG